UCAGGCUGAGGUAGUAGGUUGUAUAGUUCAGAGUGACACCACAGGAGAUAACUGUACAGCCUCCUAGCUUUCCCUGA
Xiphophorus maculatus (southern platyfish) is the source of this 77-nucleotide non-coding RNA. NCBI's taxonomy places the organism in Eukaryota, Metazoa, Chordata, Actinopteri, Cyprinodontiformes, Poeciliidae. The record is from Rfam.